This 253-nucleotide ribosomal RNA is filed under the name uncultured bacterium. RNAcentral's name for it is "partial 16S ribosomal RNA". It matches the Rfam family "Bacterial small subunit ribosomal RNA", at positions 524 to 776 of the family's 1533-position model. The record is from RNAcentral.
UACAGAGGUCCCGAGCGUUGUUCGGAUUCACUGGGCGUAAAGGGUGCGUAGGUGGUGAGGUAAGUCGGAUGUGAAAUCUCCGGGCUCAACCCGGAAAUGGUAUUGGAAACUACCUUGCUGGAGGAUUUGAGGGGGGAUUGGAAUACUUGGUGUAGCAGUGAAAUGCGUAGAUAUCAAGUGGAACACCAGUGGCGAAGGCGAAUCCCUGGAAAAUACCUGACACUGAGGCACGAAAGCUAGGGGAGCAAACGGG